UACGGAGGGGGUUAGCGUUGUUCGGAAUUACUGGGCGUAAAGCGCGCGUAGGCGGAUUAGAAAGUUGGGGGUGAAAUCCCGGGGCUCAACCUCGGGACUGCCUCCAAAACCGCUAGUCUAGAGUUCGAGAGAGGUGAGUGGAAUUCCGAGUGUAGAGGUGAAAUUCGUAGAUAUUCGGAGGAACACCAGUGGCGAAGGCGGCUCACUGGCUCGAUACUGACGCUGAGGUGCGAAAGUGUGGGGAGCAAACAGG
Molecule: ribosomal RNA, 253 nt
Filed under: uncultured bacterium
Lineage: Bacteria
Description: partial 16S ribosomal RNA
Rfam family: Bacterial small subunit ribosomal RNA
Source: RNAcentral